ACUCAAAUGAAUUGACGGGGACUCGCACAAGCGGUGGAACAUGAGGUUCAAUUCGACAGUAAACGAAGAACCUUACCAGGGUUAGACAUCCAGACGAAGGGCUGCCGAAAGGUAGUCCGUCUCUCAAGGACGUCUGGACAGGUGCUGCAUGGUUGUCGUCAGCUCGUGCUUUGAAGUGUUCCCUUAAGUGGGUUAACGAGCGCAACCCAUGUCUUGUGUUUUAUAUGUCACAAGAUACUGCCGUGUUUUCCACGGAGGAAGGAAUGGAUGACGUCAAAUCCGCAUGGCCCUCUGAUACCCUGGGCUACACUCGUGUUACAAUGGCCGGUACAAUGGGUCGCCAAGCCGUAAGGCGGAGCUAAUCCCAUCAAAGCCGGCCCCAGUUCAGAUUGAGGGCUGCAACUCGCCCUCAUGAAGCCGGAAUCGCUAGUAAUCGUGGGUCAGCUAUACCACGGUGAAUACGUUCUCGAGUCCUGUACACACCGCCCGU
RNAcentral lists this ribosomal RNA (490 nucleotides) under uncultured bacterium. RNAcentral describes it as "partial 16S ribosomal RNA". It matches the Rfam family "Bacterial small subunit ribosomal RNA", at positions 899 to 1397 of the family's 1533-position model. The record is from RNAcentral.